Molecule: small RNA, 877 nt
Filed under: Pan troglodytes (chimpanzee)
Lineage: Eukaryota; Metazoa; Chordata; Mammalia; Primates; Hominidae
Description: retained intron
Source: RNAcentral
GGAGGUUGCAGUAAGCCAAGAUUGCACCAUUGCACUCUAGCCGGGGCGACAGGGCGAGACUCCGUCUCAAAAAAAAAAAAAAAAGAAAAAUGAAAGGUGGGAGGGGCCGGUGCGAGCAGUUGGGGUCCUGCUCUUUGGGGUGCGACCUCAGCCCAGGCAGGGCCUCCCUCCGUGGGACACAGUCCCGUGGGUUGGGCGGGGGAAAGAUACAUAGCCAGACAGGAGUGAAGGGGGCUCACUCGGUACAGCGAUGGGGGAUGUCCAGACGCGGGGCACUCAGGUGGGGAGCUGGAGCCGGCUGAGCAGCGCUGACCUAGGGUGCGGGGCGUGGUCCCUGGAGGCCUGGGAGGUUGACCCUGCCCUUCCCCUCCCCCGCCAGAAGACUCGAGCUCUGGGCUCAUGAACACUCUCCUGAAUGGACACAAGGUAAGCGACCUUCCUCCUCUCAAAGCACCUGGGGGAGAAAGGUCUGGAGGCUUCUAGAACCCUGAGUCAGAGCCAGUGCUCGCCCAGAUGUGUGCAAGCAGGGGCGGUGCCGCUGCACCGUGGGGACGCUGUUGAUUGUACUCCCACCGGGGUGUCCCAGGAGACCCUCCUAGGCUUGGGGCACACCCAGAAAGAGCGUGGCUGCCUUCUACCACCAGUAAAUUGCCACCUUGUCCCUUCGUCUUAGGGUGGGGACUGCGAUGGCUUCUCCACCUUCGAUGUUCCCAUCUUCACUGAAGAGUUCUUGGACCAAAACAAAGCGCGCGAGGCGGAGCUUCGGCGCUUGCGGAAGAUGAAUGUGGCCUUCGAGGAGCAGAACGCGGUACUGCAGAGGCACACGCAGAGCAUGAGCAGCGCGCGCGAGCGUCUGGAGCAGGAGCUGGCGCUGGAG